CGACUCCACGGACUCAACCUCUCUUAACCUCCUAUGAAUCUCGCGCAAUCCUCCGGGUUGUCCACGCCCUCACGUUCGAAUCCACGAACGCCUCCACUUCGAAUCCACGAAGCUUCAAUCACGCCGAAUCGACGACGCCACGCGAAUCCAUGAGCCCACGAUCCGAAUCCACGAACCGCCUUCGUUCACGCCGAAUCCACGACGCCGU
Molecule: long non-coding RNA, 208 nt
Filed under: Ananas comosus (pineapple)
Lineage: Eukaryota; Viridiplantae; Streptophyta; Magnoliopsida; Poales; Bromeliaceae
Description: long non-coding RNA (ACOM_LNC016986)
Source: RNAcentral